Molecule: long non-coding RNA, 272 nt
Filed under: Chinchilla lanigera (long-tailed chinchilla)
Lineage: Eukaryota; Metazoa; Chordata; Mammalia; Rodentia; Chinchillidae
Description: lncRNA (ENSCLAG00000027464.1)
Source: RNAcentral
CAGGUUUUAGAGGAUUGGCACUUGACUUCAAUGUGUGGAGACCAUUGGUGCAAGAACUGAGAGACACAAGAAAGAAUUAAGUCAGGAAGAGCUGGAUUUCUCUUUGGUGACAGGUCAUCUUCUGACUGCUAAACCUCAUCACAUACCUCUGGUACAGUCACAGAAAUCUGUGUUUUGUAAAUUAAUCUUAUUUUAUAGUUCAUUUUAUAGUAUCAUUUUUCUUUUCCUUGCCUCAUUUUCUUUUUUGCAUUAAAUUUAACUCUGACAUCUUG